CAACCUGCCCCAGGCUUUGGGAUAACCCCGGGAAACCGGGGCUAAUACCGAAUAUGACCUCUGACCGCAUGGUUGGUGGUGGAAAGUUUUUCGGCUUGGGAUGGGCUCGCGGCCUAUCAGCUUGUUGGUGGGGUGAUGGCCUACCAAGGCGACGACGGGUAGCCGGCCUGAGAGGGCGACCGGCCACACUGGGACUGAGACACGGCCCAGACUCCUACGGGAGGCAGCAGUGGGGAAUAUUGCACAAUGGGCGGAAGCCUGAUGCAGCGACGCCGCGUGAGGGAUGACGGCCUUCGGGUUGUAAACCUCUUUCAGCAGGGACGAAGCGUAAGUGACGGUACCUGCAGAAGAAGCGCCGGCCAACUACGUGCCAGCAGCCGCGGUAAGACGUAGGGCGCGAGCGUUGUCCGGAUUUAUUGGGCGUAAAGAGCUCGUAGGCGGCUUGUCGCGUCGACCGUGAAAACUUGGGGCUCAACCCCAAGCCUGCGGUCGAUACGGGCAGGCUAGAGUUCGGUAGGGGAGACUGGAAUUCCUG
This 535-nucleotide ribosomal RNA is filed under the name Micromonospora sp. X3011. Its description in RNAcentral is "bacterial SSU rRNA". It matches the Rfam family "Bacterial small subunit ribosomal RNA", at positions 122 to 672 of the family's 1533-position model. Lineage: Bacteria; Bacillati; Actinomycetota; Actinomycetes; Micromonosporales; Micromonosporaceae. The record is from RNAcentral.